GAUGAACGCUGACAGAAUGCUUAACACAUGCAAGUCAACUUGAAUUUGGGUUUUUAACUUAGAUUUGGGUGGCGGACGGGUGAGUAACGCGUAAAGAACUUGCCUCACAGUUAGGGACAACAUUUAGAAAUGAAUGCUAAUACCUGAUAUUAUGGUUAUAGGGCAUCCUAUAAUUAUGAAAGCUAUAAGCACUGUGAGAGAGCUUUGCGUCCCAUUAGCUAGUUGGAGAGGUAACAGCUCACCAAGGCGAUGAUGGGUAGCCGGCCUGAGAGGGUGAACGGCCACAAGGGGACUGAGACACGGCCCUUACUCCUACGGGAGGCAGCAGUGGGGAAUAUUGGACAAUGGACCGAGAGUCUGAUCCAGCAAUUCUGUGUGCACGAUGAAGUUUUUCGGAAUGUAAAGUGCUUUCAGUUGGGAAGAAAAAAGUGACGGUACCAACAGAAGAAGUGACGGCUAAAUACGUGCCAGCAGCCGCGGUAAUACGUAUGUCACGAGCGUUAUCCGGAUUUAUUGGGCGUAAAGCGCGUCUAGGUGGUUAUGUAAGUCUGAUGUGAAAAUGCAGGGCUCAACUCUGUAUUGCGUUGGAAACUGUGUAACUAGAGUACUGGAGAGGUAAGCGGAACUACAAGUGUAGAGGUGAAAUUCGUAGAUAUUUGUAGGAAUGCCGAUGGGGAAGCCAGCUUACUGGACAGAUACUGACGCUAAAGCGCGAAAGCGUGGGUAGCAAACAGG
Molecule: ribosomal RNA, 735 nt
Filed under: uncultured Fusobacterium sp.
Lineage: Bacteria; Fusobacteriati; Fusobacteriota; Fusobacteriia; Fusobacteriales; Fusobacteriaceae
Description: bacterial SSU rRNA
Rfam family: Bacterial small subunit ribosomal RNA
Source: RNAcentral